UCUNUGAUCUAAGGAUUAAUUGCACGGGAUGGUUGAAGCUAUGCGUUGGAAUGUCCGGAGGAUAAGAGAACCGUAGCAUCUCCAUCUUCAGCUUCAGUUUCCUGCAAGCCCAAAACCUCUGUGAAUUUG
Molecule: non-coding RNA, 129 nt
Organism: Camelina sativa (false flax)
Lineage: Eukaryota; Viridiplantae; Streptophyta; Magnoliopsida; Brassicales; Brassicaceae
Source: RefSeq, a predicted model, not a curated record